AUUUAAGUCAUAUAAAUAAUUUUCUUUGGCACCACUACAAUUUUAUUCUUUAGCAUUUAAAUAAGAGAUUCAUAAUAUGAUAUUGCCAAUAUGAUCAAAAUUCAUCCCGUCUG
Long non-coding RNA from Thalassophryne amazonica, 113 nucleotides. RefSeq lists it as uncharacterized. The record is from RefSeq and is a predicted model, not a curated record. Lineage: Eukaryota; Metazoa; Chordata; Actinopteri; Batrachoidiformes; Batrachoididae. The transcript has 3 exons.